Molecule: transfer RNA, 73 nt
Filed under: Cordylochernes scorpioides
Lineage: Eukaryota; Metazoa; Arthropoda; Arachnida; Pseudoscorpiones; Chernetidae
Description: tRNA-Thr
Rfam family: tRNA
About the family: Transfer RNA (tRNA) molecules are approximately 80 nucleotides in length. Their secondary structure includes four short double-helical elements and three loops (D, anti-codon, and T loops).
Source: RNAcentral
UCCGGGGUAGCCUAGUGGACAUGGCACCUGCCCGGUAAGCAGAAGGUUGUGGGUUCGAUUCCCGCCCCUGGAC